RNAcentral lists this ribosomal RNA (35 nucleotides) under Sydowia polyspora. RNAcentral describes it as "partial 18S ribosomal RNA". Lineage: Eukaryota; Fungi; Ascomycota; Dothideomycetes; Dothideales; Dothioraceae. The record is from RNAcentral.
CCUUCCGUUAGGUGAACCUGCGGAAGGAUCAUUAA